This 259-nucleotide ribosomal RNA is filed under the name uncultured soil bacterium. RNAcentral describes it as "partial 16S ribosomal RNA". It matches the Rfam family "Bacterial small subunit ribosomal RNA", at positions 26 to 285 of the family's 1533-position model. The record is from RNAcentral.
AGGACGAACGCUGGCGGCGUGCUUAACACAUGCAAGUCGAGCGGUAAGGCCCUUUCGGGGGUACACGAGCGGCGAACGGGUGAGUAACACGUGGGUGACCUGCCCUCAGCUCUGGGAUAAGCCUGGGAAACUGGGUCUAAUACCGGAUAUUCACUUCUCCAUCGCAUGGUGGGUUGUGGAAAGUUUUUUCGGCUGGGGAUGGGCCCGCGGCCUAUCAGCUUGUUGGUGGGGUGAUGGCCUACCAAGGCGACGACGGGUA